RNAcentral lists this non-coding RNA (106 nucleotides) under Moorella sp. (in: firmicutes). RNAcentral describes it as "Moorella sp. Glycine sequence". It matches the Rfam family "Glycine riboswitch aptamer". From Rfam's summary of the family: This family represents the bacterial glycine riboswitch. Glycine riboswitches usually consist of two metabolite-binding aptamers domains with similar structures in tandem. Lineage: Bacteria; Bacillati; Bacillota; Clostridia; Neomoorellales; Neomoorellaceae. The record is from RNAcentral.
GGACCCUCCUCUGGAGAGACCUCCCUUGCGGAGGCGCCGAAGGGGUAAGGCCUUAAGCCUUAAGGUGAAGGCCUAAUCUCUCAGGUCAAAAGACAGAGGCCCACAC